CUUCAAGCAAUGAAUUCAACCGAAAAAAAAUGCAAUUCAGGUCCUAACAACUCUGGAAAAUACACAAUUGAUUUCCCAAUUCGCGACCCACACACGAAUUCAAAUAAUCCCACUAGGCCUGAAUCCAGCAUUUGAAGUUUGAUAACGCACAAACAUCUCAUCAAUUUUUCACUCAAAACCAAAUUCGAAUAUUGCAGAGAUUUGAGGC
Molecule: long non-coding RNA, 208 nt
Filed under: Olea europaea (common olive)
Lineage: Eukaryota; Viridiplantae; Streptophyta; Magnoliopsida; Lamiales; Oleaceae
Description: long non-coding RNA (OEUR_LNC006703)
Source: RNAcentral